GGGCUGGCGCGGCGCCGGGCCUGAGUCACACGCAUGAGGCAGCGUGAGUCAGGCGCGGAGGGAAGUCCCUACGGAAGGGGCUUUCGGGGCCGCAAUCGAAUCGCGAGGAAAGAGAAAGUGUUCGGAAGGCUCCUUUGACACAGUGACCUUGUGUGAGCCCGGGCCGGACACACCCCCACACCCUACCCGCAGACAACAACAUGAACAUGAACACCCCAGGCCCACGGCGGCCGAGGACUCUCACGCCAGCUCCCAGAGCAUAAAUCUUACACUCGCCUGAAGUGCACUCUGGUGAGCUGCCACCACUACCGUUAGUCACCAAAGAGGAACCCAUCCCGCCAAAGACCAAGAUGGUUGUCAGCUCCUGAUGACUAAACCUGAGACCAAAGAAGGGGGAGAAUCCCAAUGAUUGUUGGCAAAUUAUGAAAUCUAAAGCUAAGAUGGUGAACAACAGCUCAACCUGGAACUGGGCUGCUGU
Molecule: long non-coding RNA, 478 nt
Organism: Hipposideros armiger (great roundleaf bat)
Lineage: Eukaryota; Metazoa; Chordata; Mammalia; Chiroptera; Hipposideridae
Exons: 3
Source: RefSeq, a predicted model, not a curated record